This 722-nucleotide ribosomal RNA is filed under the name Najas kingii. RNAcentral's name for it is "eukaryotic LSU rRNA". The stretch from base 293 to 448 matches the Rfam family "5.8S ribosomal RNA". The record is from RNAcentral. Lineage: Eukaryota; Viridiplantae; Streptophyta; Magnoliopsida; Alismatales; Hydrocharitaceae.
UUUCCGUAGGUGAACCUGCGGAAGGAUCAUUGUCGACGCGUUGCGAGAACGAAGCGAAUCGGUGAACAUAUCGUAGGGUGGCCUAGGAUCGCAGUUGUUUGCCUCUGUCAGGCCCCCUAUCCCUUUGCGCUCGUCUUUCCCGCCAAGCCGGGUCAGCACGAGCCUCCAACGAACCCUCGACGCGGGUCGCGUCAAGGACUACCGGAUGGACCGUCACAGUGCGCGACCCUAGCUUGGCCUCGCCUCGGUGCGAUGCGCCUGCUGCUUCGCGUCCCUGUCGGAACAAGAUAACGACUCUCGGCAACGGAUAUCUAGGCUCUCGCAUCGAUGAAGAACGUAGCGAAAUGCGAUACUUGGUGUGAAUUGCAGAAUCCCGUGAACCAUCGAGUCUUUGAACGCAAGUUGCGCCCGGAGCCGUCAGGCCGAGGGCACGCCUGCCUGGGCGUCGCACGUACAUUCGCUCCUCUGCCUGCACCUUCUCGGAUGCGCGGUUCGUGGAGUUGGAUUUUGGCCAUCCGUGCGGUGGAAUCGCGGUUGGCCCGAUGUCUGCUUGCAUGCGCGUCCGCAUCACGGCGGGUGGUGAUCAUUCCUGAGUUGCCCGUGUACGUCGUGAUUGCUGCGCUAACUGUUCCCCUUGGUCGCCCGGCGGAUUAAGCGCACGUCCCUGUGCCUUCCCCAACCGUACGGACCCCAGGUCAGGCGAGGCCACCCGCUGAGUUUAA